RNAcentral lists this ribosomal RNA (249 nucleotides) under uncultured bacterium. RNAcentral describes it as "partial 16S ribosomal RNA". It matches the Rfam family "Bacterial small subunit ribosomal RNA", at positions 524 to 775 of the family's 1533-position model. The record is from RNAcentral.
GACGUAGGAUGCAAGCGUUGUCCGGAAUUAUUGGGCGUAAAGAGUUCGUAGGCGGUUAUUAAGUCUGGUGUUAAAUACCGAAGCUCAACUUCGGCAUGGCAUUGGAUACUGGUAGGCUAGAGUACGGUAGAGGAUACGGGAAUUCCAGGUGUAGCGGUGAAUGCGUAGAUAAUCUGGAGGAACACCGGUGGCGAAAGCGCGUGUCUGGCCGUAACUGACGCUGAGGAACGAAAGCCAGGUAGCCAAAGG